Molecule: long non-coding RNA, 2644 nt
Filed under: Homo sapiens (human)
Lineage: Eukaryota; Metazoa; Chordata; Mammalia; Primates; Hominidae
Description: long independently transcribed non-coding RNA 1145, transcript variant 3 (LINC01145)
Source: RNAcentral
GGUUGGUCCCGGCGGGGGAAGGAGAAAGUGAGACUCGGUGUCAUCACCAAUCCGUCGCCAGAAGGGGAGGAAACUGGAAUCCAGCAGCGGCGAGCAGCAGCUGGGCGGUCACAUCUGGAAAUGGAAAGCCGACCUCCCCCUCCUCCUCCACCUCUUCCUCCUCCUCCUCCUCCUCCUCUCACCCAGGAUCACUUCCGAAACCACUUGGCCUUCAGCCCCUGCCUCGGCCAGAGGUUUCAUUUUUAACUGAAUAUUUACGAAAGCUGAAAGCGUGCGAGGGGGGUGGGGUGGAAAUAGCGGCUGCUUCUUUUCCAAGGAUUUAUUUAAUGGGGAUGUGUUCAAGGCAAGACCGAAUUCAGAAGGAUAUCGACGUCGUGAUCCAGAAGUCCAGAGCUGAGGACUGCCUGUUUGCAGAAAUCACAGAGAUCAGCAACUCUAGAGUGCGAUGAAGAAGCUUCACUCUGGGAGAACCCCCUUCGUGACCACGGUCUCUUUCCUGCCAGGGCACCGGCAACAGUUUUCCGUUUGUGCCUACUCCACCUGCUGUCUUUGUUGGGUCAGCGAACAUCGCCUCCCUCUACCGCUCAAUCAGCAAAAGGGACCGCCCUUGAGGACCUCACCCGCGGCUCACUCCCCUCCCAACUUCGCGGGCAUCGCCUCCGGUCGCCUCUUCCGAAGGCCUAACGAGCAUGUUAGCUGCGAACGGAGGUGAGGAGGCUCCGCUGACUGACCGGUGCCCAUGUCCAGGGCACGCACAAACGCCAUGACUUGGCUUGGCCUCUCUCUUAGUUAUUCACAAGCUCAGCCCGAUAGGCACCUCUGGGGCGGCGACGGCAAAGAGGGUGCGCUUAUUAAGUGCAGCUCCACGGGGACUGGCCUCUGCACGGCUGUGUACACCUGAGCGAGACGCUCAGUCGCUCUCUAAAGCCGCUUCUGCGGAUGACAGACACGGAGAUAAACGUGAGAGGUGGCCCACCACGACUUGCCCUCCUUUGCCCGGGUUUGCCCCUCGCUGCGGAGGCUGUUCUACAUCUGGCCCUUGGAGCAGGCCGGCUGACAGCGUGGUAAAGGAAGAUUUCUGCGGGAGGGCGGCCAGUGCAAAACAAUUCCCUGACCGGGAAUCGAACCCGGGCCGUGGCGCUUUCAGCACCGAAUCCUAGCCACUAGACAACCAUGCAGAUGCGGAAAGCUGCUUUCUCUCCCUUCUUCGACCUGAAGCGACACUUUCCUGUGCUCUAGGAGGACUUGGGUCUUGUGAGAGUCUCCCUUUGCUCCUGGAGUCGUCUCACAAGGCCGUUCACUCCCUGCUUUCUUCAAAAAAAGAACCUGCAGGCGACACACCAAGGGCUCCACGAGGGAGUCCUGAGUACUGGAGCGAGUUGCGGCCACGCGGCCGCAGCUCACCACUGGCCUAGAGAUGCCCUUUGCCAGGCGGCAGCAACUGACAAGAUGGUCGCGGGUCGCCGGGUCCGGAGCCGCCCACCAGGUUGCCAGGAGGAGGCGGGAGCGGGGAGGCGCCCGAGGUGAGACGGGGGCACCCUCUGCAUCAUAAAGGACCCAGACCCCGGCACCCUCAACAUCAUAAGGAAUCAGACGGAUGCGGAAACCGAGGCGGGCUGGAUAGGAAACUCUUUCCAGGAAGGCUCCGGGGCACUCAACUGGUCUCCAACCUUCCCCUGCAACCUGUGACGCCUGCCAUUUUCCCAUUUUAGGCGAUGGCAACGCAACCCCUCCGUUUGCUCUGGGCAAAACUUCGAGAGUUCCCUCUGAAGCUGGAGCUUUUUCCUCAGAUCCAAGAUCCAAUUGGUCACCAAUUCGUGAUUUCCGUCGGCCAAGUGCGUGGGCAUUGAUCUACACGCGAGUUUCUCCACCUCUGCCGAAUGGCUACUUCGGGGUGGGGGAGGGGCCCUCCCGCCGUGGAUUGCAAGGUGUUUAGCAGCAUCUGUCUCCUCCGCUGACUAGACACAUGCCAGGGGGAUAACAUUCUCCCUCCCGCUUCCCCCAGCCGCGGCCUAGUGUCCCAGCGGGGUUGGGAGAGGCAUGUGAGGGCGAAGUUGCCCCCUGUUGAGAACCAUUGCUGCGCGUAGUCCUUCUCUCUGAACUUGUGCAGAGGACUCUCCAGGUGAAGGCUCAAGGGUGGAUCCAGCUCGAGACACCCUCGCUCCCCCUCACAGUCGGACCUUAGGAUUUAGGCUUUAACAUCUCCACAUCAUGAGAUUCGAAACCUUUAGGUCUUGUCUUCCGUUCUGUCCUCCAAAUCGGCCUCUUCCGAGCCUGUUGACCAGGGCCAGCCGGGCAGAGGGCUGGGCUCGCUCAACGAGGCUCCUCUCGCACCUCCUGGAGCUUCAGGCUUCUUUCCGUUGCAGAGAAGCUUUAUGGGCCAAUUCGUUCGGCAUCCCCGGGGGCAGGUGCGCGGUGCGCGGGGAAGAAGAGGAUUUGACUGCGGUUCUCCACCCCCGGCGCCCAACCUCCACCCCGGUGCGCGCGCUCUUCCAGGCUCCUGCUGGUCCCACUUGCCAGGAGUUAGGUCUCAGGUCAGCCUGAGCUCCUGAGACGCCCAGGCCCGGAAAGACACGUAGGGGAAACCAUCUGCUCACUUCUGUCCUGUCCGGAAGGGAUCCCUUUCUGACGGGAAAGAAAGGCG